GUCAAAUCCUAGAGAACCUCCCCCCCCCCUUCACUUUCGUCCCAUCCCUAACCCUAAUCUAGCCGCCCCUAAAUUCUCUCAACUCAUUAGCUGGCGGCGGCUAUCAUAAUCCCUCCAAAUACCCAAAUCGAUAUCCCAUACUCCUCAAUCUCCCCUCGUCAUCAAUCUAUUACCAUAUUCCCCAAAUUCCCAUUGAAUGCUCUCAGAACCGGAUCUAGAAAACAGAAAGAUCGAGUUCUUUCUUCUUUGACUGCUCGUUGAGUUUCAAGGCUUGUGUUGACUCAAAAUUUAUGCUAGUCAGUUGUUCUUGGCACGAACAACCGAUUAGCGUUAAUUCCGGGUCAUUUCAGAGGGAUUUGAACCCCAUUGUUUGGCCCAGUGCUUAUCAAAGAUAUUCCUCUUUGUUUUUAGUUGUAACAAGAAAGAGGAAAUUGGAAACCUAUUGAUUCGGAAUAAAAGGUGUUGAUUUGCAGAGCAGCUCUAUGGCUGACCUUGUAAUUCAAAGGCCCUUUUGAAAGCUGGUGGCAAGUGAAAGAGCCCAAAAUCAUAUGGAGUAUUCAAUGGAUAACAAAAUUUUCUCUUAAAAAAAAGAAAGGGAAAGGCAUGUAGUCAUACAUUUGAAUGUAUUGUUAAUCCAUGGACUGUUCCUAAUGAACUGAUUUCCUGCAUAGAAUUGAUAUAAAAUAUAUUGUAAUAUUUCUCUUUUUGAUUGAU
This is a long non-coding RNA of Nicotiana tabacum (common tobacco), 714 nucleotides long. RefSeq lists it as uncharacterized. The record is from RefSeq and is a predicted model, not a curated record. NCBI's taxonomy places the organism in Eukaryota, Viridiplantae, Streptophyta, Magnoliopsida, Solanales, Solanaceae.